GGACAGUCAUCGCCGAGUCCCCGUACGGCGCGAGCCAGGGGAGCCGGGGACCCACGCAGUCCCUGGGGUGAAUCGGACGCCCGCGCGCCAGCGAGGGGGUCCGUAGGAGACCUUCCUGCUCCGAACCCGUCAGCUAACCCGGUAGGCGAGAGGGAAGGAAAGG
Molecule: small RNA, 163 nt
Filed under: Streptomyces sp.
Lineage: Bacteria; Bacillati; Actinomycetota; Actinomycetes; Kitasatosporales; Streptomycetaceae
Also listed under: 1 other name
Description: c-di-AMP sequence
Rfam family: c-di-AMP riboswitch aptamer (ydaO/yuaA leader)
About the family: This family represents a conserved RNA structure found upstream of the ydaO and yuaA genes in Bacillus subtilis and related genes in other bacteria. The ydaO/yuaA element is thought to act as a genetic "off" switch for the ydaO and yuaA genes in its native state.
Source: RNAcentral